RNAcentral lists this ribosomal RNA (397 nucleotides) under uncultured bacterium. RNAcentral describes it as "partial 16S ribosomal RNA". It matches the Rfam family "Bacterial small subunit ribosomal RNA", at positions 338 to 732 of the family's 1533-position model. The record is from RNAcentral.
CCUACGGGUGGCUGCAGUGAGGAAUAUUGGUCAAUGGGCGGGAGCCUGAACCAGCCAAGUCGCGUGAGGGAAGACGGUCCUAUGGGUUGUAAACCUCUUUUGUCGUGGAACACAAGACGCCACGCGUGGCGUUCCGAGAGUACCCGAAGAAAAAGCAUCGGCUAACUCCGUGCCAGCAGCCGCGGUAAUACGGAGGAUGCGAGCGUUAUCCGGAUUUACUGGGUGUAAAGGGUGCGGAGACGGGGCUGCAAGCCAGCAGUAAAAGCCCCGGGCCCAACCCCGGGACUGCUCUUGGCACUGCGUGGCUGGAGAGUGGGAGGGGCAGGCGGAAUUCCCGGUGUAGCGGGGAAAUGCGUAGAUAUCGGGAGGAACACCGGUGGCGAAGGCAGCGUGCCGG